This is a long non-coding RNA of Tribolium castaneum (red flour beetle), 499 nucleotides long. RefSeq lists it as uncharacterized. Lineage: Eukaryota; Metazoa; Arthropoda; Insecta; Coleoptera; Tenebrionidae. The transcript has 2 exons. The record is from RefSeq and is a predicted model, not a curated record.
AAACAAAUAAUGCAAAUUGAAUGAUUUUCUAUUAUAAUGUCAAUUUUUAUUUUAUAUAGCGUUUUGGGGUUCUUCUAUCACUCAAUCAUCCCCUUUAAGUUUCAACCCCAAGACCAUAAACAACCUGUAUUUCUAGUUACGACAUUACCUUAACAAAGUAGCUGCAUUUCAAGAGUCUUUUAUGUCACUGUCAGUUCGCUACCAGACUAUGGAAGAAUGGAACUUCACAAAAUAAUGCUUAAUAAAAACAAAUUAUUAUUUGGCGAACCAUGGAUUGAUUUCGCACCGCGUUUACACUAAAUGAUGCAACUCAACCUGUGAAACUAAAAAGAGUGCGUCCUGAAGAGAAUAAUGCUGUUGAUGAACAAACUGUCGAAGAAAAUUCACCACCUUGAUUCCGCAACGAACACAACAAAUUAACUUUUGUUCCUCAAAAUUAUUGAAAAUUUUAAGAAAUGUCAAAGUGUAAGGAAAUAAUGAAUAAAUUUCAUUUUCAGUG